CCUUAGGCUGGGACUGUAAACAGUUCAGCACUUUCCUAUGCCAACUGGCAUCUCCAAAGAGGGCUCUGGAGAUCGGUGAAAACCAAACUGGAGCUGAUUUCUUGGAGAAAGGAGAAGAACCAACGCCACAGCAGGAGGGACUGUUCCACCCCAAGAUGCGGCAAUGUGGCCAGCCAAACACAGAGUCCCGUGUCAGGAGAAGAGGAAAAAGACACCAUGCGAGAGGUGCGGGACAGACCGCAAAGCAAACACUGAGUUAGGAGCUGGACAAGGGACUCAAAAAGGAUAUGAGCACUGGAGCGUGAGCACAGUUCACGGGCCGGCUGCUAAACAACCCUCCCCACUUAUUCCUCCACCGCGGGCCCCCUUCCGCCUGAAGCGCUGUCGACUUCUAAUUACUUACUUGUCCCUUUUUCUGAAGAGGCUGGGGGAAUAAGGAGGCUGAAAUGCCAUCA
Non-coding RNA from Vicugna pacos (alpaca), 455 nucleotides. The record is from RefSeq and is a predicted model, not a curated record. NCBI's taxonomy places the organism in Eukaryota, Metazoa, Chordata, Mammalia, Artiodactyla, Camelidae.